AGAAACAGUUAACAGUCAGACUGCAUCUCAGCCCUGUCAAGAUGAAUCUCCAUAAUAGGUGAUGAAUAGUUUUAUUUGGGGGAUAUAUUAACUUUUACUAUUGGGGAAAAGUUUUAGAUUGGUUUGCCAGCUUGUGCCCCAUCAAGUUGAGGCCAAUAGAUAUACAUUCACAGCCCUGUAUCCAUCAAAUAAUCAACUAUAUGUGUGACUUUGGGACUGAUUCAUACAACCACAUUUCCUUUCUCAAGAAAGGUUGGAAGUCUAUUGUAGAUCACUCCCUCUAAAGGACCAGGUUCAGCGUCUGGGGUGAUGACAGAGCCAACAUUUUCACUGGAUAUCCAAGCGGCGUCUGUGGUAUGUAACACCUUUCAGCAGCUAAAACUGUUGGACCAGCUGUGCCUUCUUAUUCACAUUCUAGUAAUUCCUAAGAUGACUGCUGCCAUGCCUUGCACAUGAGACUACCCUUGAAGACUUCUUGGAGGCUUCCAUUAGCACAAAAUGCACCUGCCAGGCUACUAAUGGAGACUGGCAAUGGCGAACAUAUUUUCCCAGUGCUUAAACAACACCGCCAGUCCUCUUUCAGGAAUAAUUCAGACUGCAGGUCAUAGGGCUAAAUAGCUAUUUGAAGGAUGCUUUUUACUAUAUAAACACACCUGGUUCCUU
Long non-coding RNA from Podarcis raffonei (Aeolian wall lizard), 663 nucleotides. RefSeq lists it as uncharacterized. NCBI's taxonomy places the organism in Eukaryota, Metazoa, Chordata, Lepidosauria, Squamata, Lacertidae. The transcript is spliced from 2 exons. The record is from RefSeq and is a predicted model, not a curated record.